Long non-coding RNA from Siniperca chuatsi (mandarin fish), 1334 nucleotides. RefSeq lists it as uncharacterized. The transcript has 2 exons. NCBI's taxonomy places the organism in Eukaryota, Metazoa, Chordata, Actinopteri, Centrarchiformes, Sinipercidae. The record is from RefSeq and is a predicted model, not a curated record.
UUUGCAUCAGCAGUGGUAUGUGGUUUAAAUGUCAGGUGUCCCAGCCUUGUUUCCUGUGUUUCUCCUGAAUCUUUUGGAUUUAUUUCUGCAUUUGCUUGGACCUCGCCUGGAUUUUUGGAUUUCGUUUAUCGCCUGCUCCUUGUUUGAGUUGAUUGCCUGUCUUGGACUGCCCUCCCAAUUUUGACCACUGCCUGCCUGACUACCCGUAUAAUCAUGGCAGAAGGCCAGGGAUACGACUGGACAAACAAUUCCAGGACCACCAGAUGCAGGAUGGAUGACUCCAUGCCCAGGAGGCAAGUGGCUCCAGUUCAGGCUGGACUGAGUCAAGGACUCCACUCUUCGAUGUUGUACCAGCUGCUCAUGGAGGAAAAGCCAAUCCAGACAUCUCACACUGAUAUACUGGACACACUGUACGUUAUGCAUGUUCCAAAGAGCCCUAUGGACACACUGCUGAGAUUAUCACUGGACACUAAAUACAAUGCAAGUACACCGGAUGAUGUUGUGAAUUCACCCAAGCAUUUAUGGUGUGCUGUGAUUUGGGACUAGCCCCAUUAGUAAUGACAUGUUCAAUACCCUAGCUUGCUCAACUAAGAUGAGCAAAAAAACAGCCUACUGCAUACUUGAUGAUUAAACUCACAAUAUGUGUUUUGCUAUUAUGUGUUUAGUUUGGUUUUAUGCUUGUGGCUUUAAAUACAGGAUCCAUGUUGCCAAAGACAAUAUAGAUGCACAUGUCUGAUCCUGUUUAUGCAACACAUUGUCCUUGUGGUGUUGUAGUCAAGGGACAGCCUGGUGCAGACUCGGGGUGUCCUUUGACAAUGACUCGAAAGGAUAAUGGAGGGUGGGACUGGCGCGUCCCAAAGGGGGAAUGUCAUAGAUGAUUUCAUUAAACCAACUAUGGGUUAUGGAUUUAUCACAUAACCACCCUGUGCACUUAUCACAGUAUAGUGAUUAACGUCAAUUUUGUUGUGAUGUAUAACGCUACUGAAGUUGAAGAAACGUAUUAGAACACAUAAGGUGUGAAGAAAUGAAUUAGAGCAUAUAAUGUAUAGGAGAAUCAACUACUUUAAUCAAAUAAUUACACUUUAAUACACUCGUUAAGGGGCACCACCCAGUAAACUGGGAAAACAAAAUCGAAUGAAUUAAAACUCAAGCUUAAAUUAAUCAGUCUUUAAGAAGGAUUUCUUUCUUUUUGAAAGACACACAACUUCUUACUGACUAAAUUAAGACAUUUAUUUAUAGCUAAAUGCCUAAUGAUUACAUAAAAGUUUAACAAGGUACAGUGGUGUGAAAAAGUUUUUGCCCCCUUCCUGAUUUCUUGUUUUUUUGCAUGUUUG